RNAcentral lists this transfer RNA (66 nucleotides) under Mytilus trossulus (common blue mussel). RNAcentral's name for it is "tRNA-Leu". Lineage: Eukaryota; Metazoa; Mollusca; Bivalvia; Mytilida; Mytilidae. The record is from RNAcentral.
CAUAAGCUGGCAGAAACAAUGCACACGACUUAAGCUCGUUUUAUAAGACUCUAUUCUUGCUUAUGU